GACUGUGCAAAGGUAGCAUAAUUAUUAGUUUUUUAAUUGAAAGCUUGUAUGAAGGGUUGGACGAGAUAAAAUCUGUCUUUAUUUAAAUUAGAGUAUAACUUAACUUUUAAGUCAAAAGGCUUAAAUGUUUAUAAAAGACGAGAAGACCCUAUAGAUCUUUAUUUAUUUAGGAUUUUAAUAAUUUAGGAUUAUUUUAAUUUGAAGUUUUAAAUAAAUUUUAUUGGGGUAAUAUAAAGAUUAAAUAAAUUCUUUUUAUUUAUUACAUUGAUUUAUGAAUAUAUGAUCCAUUAAUACUGAUUAUAAGAUUAAGUUACCUUAGGGAUAACAGCGUAAUUUUUUUGGAGAGCUCAUAUCGAU
This 357-nucleotide ribosomal RNA is filed under the name Cicindela (Rivacindela) sp. JP-211. RNAcentral describes it as "partial 16S ribosomal RNA". Lineage: Eukaryota; Metazoa; Arthropoda; Insecta; Coleoptera; Carabidae. The record is from RNAcentral.